AGAGAGAGGCUGAACAUAAGCAUGCAGAGCUGAUAUGACACUGACCAGUGUUUAACCUAGUCAGGUUUAAAACAGAGUUAUUCUGUUCUUCCUGGGGGGAAAAAGCUUAAUCAUUUAGAAUAGUUUUAUUUAGCUUUGAAUGAGCAGAAGUGGAUGAAAUGCCGGCUGGGAAAAGCUCGUCUCUCUGCCAGAUUUUACUGUCUGUCUGCCUCCUGUUUUCCUCUACAGAUGGGAAAAUCAUCAAAGCUGAGUCUGGACAGAAUGUGUCUCUGCCAUGUCAAACUCCAAACAUCAGCAUGCCCAUCAGAGCUGUGGAGUGGUUCAGACUUGACCUGCAGGAAGGACAUGUUCUCAUGUACCGGGUUUCCCACACCAUGGAUCACGUGGACAGUCACACCAGUGAAGCUUAAAACCUUUAAUGAACCGAACAUCAACUCGAAAUAAGCACAAAUAUGCAAUGUGUACGAAAUACUCCUGGCCGUACCUGUAAUAAAAGUUAACAUAAUAAAAGGAUCCUUAAAUUAACAUCUUCAAUAAACGACUUUAAUGCAAUAUCAAUACUGUGAGAAAUAUUAUUAAAUGGAAUAAUGCUGUAAAGAAUGUUAUUAAUCCAAUUGUAAUGCUGUAGGUUAUAUGGCAGCAAUAAAAGAAUUUCUGUAUCUCCACACACUCUUGCAGAAAAGGUAUGAAAAACAUUCUGUGCUUAGGAAACAGCAGAAACGAACAGGGUCUGUGUGUGUUAACUAUAAAGUUUGGAAAUAAAGGUAGAGUAACAAACA
Astatotilapia calliptera (eastern happy) is the source of this 779-nucleotide long non-coding RNA. Lineage: Eukaryota; Metazoa; Chordata; Actinopteri; Cichliformes; Cichlidae. The record is from Ensembl.